Molecule: long non-coding RNA, 768 nt
Organism: Capra hircus (goat)
Lineage: Eukaryota; Metazoa; Chordata; Mammalia; Artiodactyla; Bovidae
Exons: 2
Source: RefSeq, a predicted model, not a curated record
CGCAAACCUGUAAGUAGUUCGAAGUAGUUCGCGGGAUCAAGAAGUUGUCCGGAGGCUGUGAAUGCUAACUUCUUUGGUUUGGGUUAAACUCUCAGGAUUUGUGAACAGUAAGAAUACUUUUACGGAAAAGUUGCCUAGGGGAAUAGGCGUCACUCCCACCUACUGUAGCCCGUGUGACACUUCUUAAGCAGUCAUUUAAUGACGUUGUCAGCCCACUCCCCAAUCCCCACCCUCGGCGAGCAGCGACCUGCUGGAGGGCAGCAACUGGGGUUUAGCCGGGAGGUCCCGGUGCCUAGAACAGCGUCUCCGAUAAAAUACUGAAUAUAGGAGAAAAUGGGAAAUCUGCAGCGUUGAAAUACCAGAGCAUUUCAGCGCCUACUAUGUCCCAGGCACUGGGCCACACUCUACAAAGAUUCAGUUAAGCCUCACCCAGUGUAAGAGGUGAUGUCGUCUCUCUAGUGCUUCGAUCAGCCUGGGAAGAGUCUGCUCAUCAUUGACAUCCAGAAGUUCGCAGGACGGCAAAGGUGGGAAACUCUGUAAAACCACUUCUGAAACCAGCGGUUCUGUAUGGAGUUGUUUAAAAAAAAAAGUUACACAGGCGAGAAAGAGUUAUUCAAACAAGUUUAACACUGGUAAGAGCCCCCAGUCCAAAUUAACAGUGUAUUUUGUUGGGCUCAUCAUAUUUCCUUAAAAAUGAGUUAUAUGAGUUGUAAAGAAGAAAAAAUGAAAAAAAAUGUGAGAGUAUAUAAUAAAAGAAGUGUGAAUUUA